This 497-nucleotide ribosomal RNA is filed under the name uncultured bacterium. RNAcentral's name for it is "partial 16S ribosomal RNA". It matches the Rfam family "Bacterial small subunit ribosomal RNA", at positions 28 to 507 of the family's 1533-position model. The record is from RNAcentral.
GAUGAACGCUGGCGGCGUGCCUAAUACAUGCGAGUCGAGCGAACGGACGAGAAGCUUGCUUCUCUGAUGUUAGCGGCGGACGGGUGAGUAACACGUGGAUAACCUACCUAUAAGACUGGGAUAACUUCGGGAAACCGGAGCUAAUACCGGAUAAUAUUUUGAACCGCAUGAUUCAAAAGUGAAAGACGGUCUUGCUGUCACUUAUAGAUGGAUCCGCGCUGCAUUAGCUAGUUGGUAAGGUAACGGCUUACCAAGGCAACGAUGCAUAGCCGACCUGAGAGGGUGAUCGGCCACACUGGAACUGAGACACGGUCCAGACUCCUACGGGAGGCAGCAGUAGGGAAUCUUCCGCAAUAGGCGAAAGCCUGACGGAGCAACGCCGCGUGAGUGAUGAAGGUCUUCGGAUCGUAAAACUCUGUUAUUAGGGAAGAACAUAUGUGUAAGUAACUGUGCACAUCUUGACGGUACCUAAUCAGAAAGCCACGGCUAACUACGUG